GACGUAGGGCGCGAGCGUUGUCCGGAUUUAUUGGGCGUAAAGAGCUCGUAGGCGGUUUGUUGCGUCGGCUGUGAAAACCCGGGGCUCAACUCCGGGCCUGCAGCCGAUACGGGCAGACUAGAGUUCGGCAGGGGAGACUGGAAUUCCUGGUGUAGCGGUGAAAUGCGCAGAUAUCAGGAGGAACACCGGUGGCGAAGGCGGGUCUCUGGGCCGAUACUGACGCUGAGGCACGAAAGCGUGGGGAGCAAACAGG
RNAcentral lists this ribosomal RNA (253 nucleotides) under uncultured bacterium. RNAcentral describes it as "partial 16S ribosomal RNA". It matches the Rfam family "Bacterial small subunit ribosomal RNA", at positions 524 to 776 of the family's 1533-position model. The record is from RNAcentral.